RNAcentral lists this non-coding RNA (29 nucleotides) under Rattus norvegicus (Norway rat). Lineage: Eukaryota; Metazoa; Chordata; Mammalia; Rodentia; Muridae. The record is from RNAcentral.
UCCCUCAUUGGAAUGGGAAGUGUGCUGGU